Long non-coding RNA from Ictalurus punctatus (channel catfish), 443 nucleotides. Lineage: Eukaryota; Metazoa; Chordata; Actinopteri; Siluriformes; Ictaluridae. The record is from Ensembl.
UCGUGCAUCAUGGCCGACGCUUCCUUAAGGAACUUUAAUAGCUCAGAUGUUUCCAUGACCUUCUACAUGAAUAUUCCCAAAGUACACCAUUAAACAAAAUAAAACACAUUAAAACACUACAAAGUAUAAAUAGUACAUGUAGUAAACAAUUCUAAAUGUUAAUAAAAUAAAUUACGAGACCUUUACCAAGCCAUAUCAUAUCAAAUCUGUAUACCCGGUGUAACCUUCAACAGAGUGCUUCCCUGUCAGAACCCUUAAAGAACCCUUGAUUAUCCAAUGAACCCUUAAAAAACACUUAAAAAACCCUUUUUAAUUCAAUGGAUAAUUUUUAGUUCACUGGAUAAUUAAGGGGUUCUUAAGGGUUCACUGGAUAAUUAAGGGUUCUUUAAGGGUUCACUGGAUAAUUAAGGGCUCUUUAAGGGUUCACUGGAUAAGUUAAGGUU